RNAcentral lists this ribosomal RNA (458 nucleotides) under uncultured bacterium. RNAcentral's name for it is "partial 16S ribosomal RNA". It matches the Rfam family "Bacterial small subunit ribosomal RNA", at positions 338 to 795 of the family's 1533-position model. The record is from RNAcentral.
CCUACGGGUGGCAGCAGUGAGGAAUAUUGGUCAAUGGACGCAAGUCUGAACCAGCCAUGCCGCGUGCAGGAAGACGGCUCUAUGAGUUGUAAACUGCUUUUGUACGAGGGUAAACGCAGAUACGCGUAUCUGUCUGAAAGUAUCGUACGAAUAAGGAUCGGCUAACUCCGUGCCAGCAGCCGCGGUAAUACGGAGGAUGCAAGCGUUAUCCGGAUUUAUUGGGUUUAAAGGGUGCGUAGGCGGUCGGAUAAGUUAGGGGUGAAAUUCCGGGGCUCAACUUAGGAAUUGCCUUUGAUACUGUUCGGCUAGAGAGUAGUUGCGGUAGGCGGAAUGUAUGGUAGAGCGGUGAAAUGCUUAGAGAUCAUACAGAACAGCGAUUGCGAAGGCAGCUUACAGCUACUUCUGACGUUGAGGCACGAAAGCGUGGGGAGCAAACAGGAUUAGAUACCCCAGUAGUC